AACAAACACAAACUCACCUGAUACAGUCAGUGUAACAGCAUCACUGCGCUGAGAGAUCUGAGUGUUUAUCUGUCCUGUACAGGUGUAUUUACCACUGUGAAAGUGAUCAACACUGCUGAUGUUCAACUCUUGUGUUGAGCACAGACUGACAGCUUCUCUGUGUUUCUGUUUAUUGACUCCACUGGUGCAGCACUCUUGUUUUGUACAUCGAUUGGCAGAGUUUAUAUUCAAGUUGUUGGUUCCCUCUAUUUCCCAUCUGUAUGUCCACUCAGUGUCUCCUCCCCACGUUAUUUCACAUCUGAGAGUGACUGUUUCUCCUCUGAACACUCGUUCAUCAGGUCGUACCGUCAGCACAGCUUUAGGACUCACUGUA
This is a long non-coding RNA of Ctenopharyngodon idella (grass carp), 373 nucleotides long. RefSeq lists it as uncharacterized. The transcript has 3 exons. Lineage: Eukaryota; Metazoa; Chordata; Actinopteri; Cypriniformes; Xenocyprididae. The record is from RefSeq and is a predicted model, not a curated record.